Molecule: RNA transcript, 10646 nt
Organism: Prionailurus viverrinus (fishing cat)
Lineage: Eukaryota; Metazoa; Chordata; Mammalia; Carnivora; Felidae
Gene name: cytochrome c oxidase assembly factor 1 homolog
Exons: 2
Source: RefSeq, a predicted model, not a curated record
CCCGUUUGAGGUUGGAGGUGUAAACCCAUGGGGUGUGGCCCAAUAAUUUAGCAGCCGUGGGGGUUGUGAGUAUGACUGUGUAGGGACCCUCCCAACUGGGGGGCAAGUGUUGGUUUUUGUCUUACUCGAAGGAGCACUGAGUCUCUUGGGUUUACAGAUAGUGAGGGAGAGGAGAGAUCGAUGGGAGCUAGUAGAGUGAGGUCAGCGUACUGUCAAAUCAGGUGUCGGAGCAGGCUGAGGUAAGGGAGAUAGGCAGCCAAAGGCGGAGGAUCUUUUGGUAGGGUUGGGGUAACAGGAAGGGUCGCCCGUAUAGGAGUUCAAAUGGGCUGAGGCCUGUGGGUCCUCAGGGAGCAGCUCGGAGUCAGGUGAGUGCUAUAGGUAGGAGUUGAGGCCAAGAAAGCCGAGUCUCUAUGGGGAGUUUAGUGAGAUGGUCUUUUAUGAGGCCAUUGGCCCUUUCAACCUUACCCGAGGACUGGGGGUGGUGUGGUAUGUGGAGUUUCCAAGUAAUACCCAAAGCUUUGGAGACCUGUUGGGUGACUGCUGAGAUGAAAGCGGGCCCGUUGUCAGACUGUAUCCUUCUUGGUAGACCAAAGCGGGGAAUGAUGUCCUUGAGUAGGAUCUCAGCCACUGUGGAGGCCCCUUCAGAUGAGGUGGGGAAGGCUUCUACCCACCCUGUAAAGGUGUCAAUUAUAGUAAGGAGAUACCGUAAUUUUUUGUGUUUUGGCAUGUGAGUGAAAUCUAUUUGCCAGUCUUCACCCAGGAGAUGGCCCCGCAUCUGAUGAGUGGGGCCUGGGUGUCUCAUUCUCCCUUGGGAACUGACUGCAGCGCAUGUGGUGCAUUGUUGGUGUGUUUUGGUGAUCAGUUGUCGUAGGUGGGGGUGGUACAUAAAGGGCUCAAGGAAGCGGAAGGUGGCCUCCGGCCCAAUGUGUAGGGUUUUGUGGAUUUUUGUUAGUAGGGAAUGGACUAGGCUAUUUGGGAGGGCCAGUCGGGGGCCCAGCAUGGUCCAGCCUGCGUUGGCGUGGGCAUUGGGAUGGGCCAUGUAUUGUUUUUGUUCAUCUGGGGUAUAAUAGGGAGUGGUAUCUUCGGUGAGGAUGCCCAUAGGAACUGGGUCGAGAGAGAGAGCUGUUUGUCUAGCGGUGUUGUCAGCCUUGUGAUUUCCUGUAGCUAUCUCUGUGGUUAGGGGUUGAUGGCCCUUGCCGUGGACAAUGGCCACUUCCUGUGGGAGUUUGAGGGCCUCAAGGAGUUUCGCCAUGAAUGGCCCAUUGAUGAUGGGGGUACCCUUAGUUGUGAGGAAUCCUCUUUCUUCCCAUAAGUGGGAGUGUGUAUGUGCAAUAAGGAAAGCGUAUUUUGAGUCUGUGUAUAUUGUGACCCUUUUGUUUCUGGACAAUUGGAGAGCCCUAAUGAGGGCUGUGAGUUCAGCCUUCUGGGAUGUGGUUCCUGUGGAUAAAGUCUGGGUCUCUAGAGUUUGGUUUAAUGUAACUACAGCGUACACUGCUCGUCGGUGGCCCUUGCAGUCAACUAGUGAGCUGCCGUCUACAAAUAGGGUGAGAUCAGGGGAAGUGAGGGGAAGGUCCUUUAAGUUAGAUGGAGGUUUGGAGAGAAUAUCUAUAAGUUCAGUGCAGGAGUGGAAGGGUGGCUGUGAAGUGUCUUUGGGGUUGAUUUGUGGAAGUAGCGUGGCAGGAUUGAGUCUGGGGGAGAGUUGGAGAGAUAUUUCAGGAUUUUCAAUAAAGAGCAGAUGGAACAAUUGUAUGCGUGAUGGGGAGAGGUGUGCCAGGGCCUUAUGUGUAAGGAGAUCAGAUAGAUGGUGCGGUGAAAGUACUGUUAGGGGGCAGUGUAGGGUGAGUUUGAAUGCCUCUUGGGUUAGAGUGGCUGCUGCUGCAAGUGCUCUGAGGCAGAGUUGCCACCCCCUGAUCGUAGGGUCCAGUUGUUUAGAAAGGUAGGCGAUAGCUUGUAACAUAGGGCCACAGGGUUGGGUUAGAAGCCCUGUUGCAAUUCCAGCCCUCUCAUCUGUGUAUAAGAGGAAAGGCUUUGAAACAUUAGGGAGGGAAAGGACCAGUUGAGUGACUAGAGAUGUGACCAGCCGUUGGAAGGCCCUUGCGCCUGAUCCUGGGAUGGAGAGUGGGCCUUGGGGGGUUUCUUUGGCUGCUCUGUAUAGGGGGGCUGCGUGUAUAGCAAAGUUAGGGAUCCAGUGUCGGAAGAAGCCUACUAGACCCAGGAAGGAGAGGAUUUCGUCUGCAUUGGUAGGUGGGGACAGGGUCUGGAGGGCUUGAAGAUGAUCUUGGGUUAGGGCCUUGGUAGUAGGUGUGAGUGAGACUCCCAGGAAUAUGUCUGUAUUAGUACAGAUUUGGGCUUUGUGUGGGGAGACUUGAUACCCCAGGUUAGCCAGGAAAUUUAGGAUUUGGACUGUAUCUUGUUUGGUGUGGUCGAAAGAGGUUCCACAUAAUAGAAGGUCAUCUAUGUACUGUAGUAGAGUACAGUGACUGGAGAGUGGGGCUUUGAGGAGAUCCCUGGCCAAGGCCUGCCCAAAGAGAUGGGGACUAUCACGAAAUCCUUGGGGAAGUAGCGUCCAUGUGAGUUGGCAGGCCAGAGAAGUGACUAGAUCUUGCCAUGUGAAGGCAAAGAGGAAUUGGGACUCAGGAUGUAAGGGAAUGGUGGAAAAGGCAUCUUUGACAUCAAGCACUGUAAAAUGGGUCGUGGAUGGGGGGAUUUGGGAGAGGAGGGUAUAUGGGUUGGGCAUUACUGGAUGGAUGGGAAUUACAGCUUCAUUGAUUAUUUGGAGGUCUUGAACUAGUCUAUAUGAGCCAUUUGGCUUUUUUACAGGCAAGAUUGGGGUGUUGCAGGGGGAAUGACAUGGGAUUAGGAGGCCCUCCUUGAGUAGGCAAUCGAUGAUGGGCUUUAGGCCUAGCUGGAGUGUGGGAGAUUGAGUAUUGGGGUCUAGAUGGGAAUUGUGAUGGAUUUUUGAGUCUAAUGAGGACAGGUUGGUGAUGGGUGGCGAUUGUUGGGGUGGAUGUAUCCCAUACGAUUGGGUCUAUUGGGAGGUCUGGGUGUGGGCUGAGGCUGUGGUCUGUGUCGUCCGUGAUAACAGUCAGUAGGAGAUGAGUGGGGGAGGGUUUUUAAGCUGCAGCAGUUCCAGGUUUAGGCUCGGGUGGGUCUUUCUCUCGAGCCAGGUUGUGCUGUUGCUUGGUAAUUGGUUGACCUUCAGUUCGUUCUGGAGAGCCGCUCAGGGCUUUCUGUUGGAUUGUGCUGGCACUCGGUGAUUGGUUGACCUUCAUUCAGUUUGUCCCGGCGCGCUGCUCGGGGCCCUCCAUUGGGUUGUGCUGGCGCUCGGUGAUUGGUUGACCUUCAGUUCAUUCUGGAGAGCCGCUCAGGGCUUUCCGUUGGGUUGUGCUGGCGCUCGGUGAUUGGUUGACCUUCAGUUUGUCCCGGCGCGCUGGCAAGAGGGCCGCCCCCUUCCGGGGACAUCCUAACACUGAUUUUCUAUACUUUGCUUUUGGAGUCUCUAAAAGGGACAGUUUAGGGUAAAUGUUCCCGAAUUAUUUUCCAUCCAGAAAUUUCACAUUUGUUUCUGUUUCCAUGCUGUACAUGAAUUGUAUCCUCCAACUUUCUAUAGAGAGUCUACCUGACUGAGUUUAAAAAAGAAAAAUAAAUGUAACAACUGUCUUUCCCCCUUAGAAGCUUUUUCCAGGGCUUCCUAUUACCAGCUAGCAUUGGAGCAGCUGCACAGCUACCCCGAGGCCCUGGCGGCUCUGGGCCCUCCGCUUUUGUCCAUUAGCUCCACCUCACCGACAAGUACAGCUUCGUGGACAUUGCCGAUGCCCAGGUAACGUGCUCCCCAUGCAGACUGAAGUCCGGGAGAGGGCUGCCAUCGCUGGGGGGACGGUCUUGGAGGAUUCGGGAUGGGAACAUGCACGAAGUAAAACCUCCACUAGGUAUUACUGAGCACCUUCUGUGAAAGCAUUAUGGGUGAAUUUAUUCUCACAUACUCGUCUUCCUUUCUGGGGGAUAACUGUGGCAGGGAAGGCAGUGUUCGGGCUCAGGGCACCAUCUGGAACUGACUGUUGUAGGGAAGUGAGCAGCAGCAGUGUGCCACAGCUUCUGCCUUGAACUUGAAAUACAUCUACGACCAGUCAGUGCUCAUUCAAGUGUGAGCAACUCUUUCAACUGUAGUUUUAAUGCUCAUUUAUUCCAUUGCUGGCACGAAAUGCCAGUCCAUUUUCUCAGCUAUAUCCGCUUUUAUAUUUCAGCCAGUAAAGUCACCUGAAUAUGAGAUGCGUUUAUUCUUCUGUUGAACAAAUAUGUUUUGAGCCCACACCAAGUUAGAGGAAUGAUUAGAAGCUGUGUGGGCAAUACAGAGAUACAGAAGGGUUUCCAGGGGGUUAUGGUUUAAAACUCCCAAGUAAGACAGGGUACCCUGAAGCGAAUGCUGUGGUAGCAACCUGGGAGGGAGCAGUUAGCCACCUGGGACAUUGUUGUGAAAAGAAGGAAUGCCAGCUAUGGAUCAGUGUGCCCAAGAAGCCACGUGGCUGUGCCCCCUGCCAGUGUGACCUCCACAGAGGUGCAGGCUUCCCAGGCAGGUGUGGUGGGUAGGACGGGCUGGGACCACAGGGCCGUGACAUCAUUGUGUGAGAUAGACACACUAGAUUGUGGGGCCAGCGGAAGCCAUGGGUAAGAGUGAGAUGCUCUGAUCUAUUUUUUUUUUGUCAGUGUUGUUUUUAUUAAUUUUUUAAUGGGAAUAGUUUCAUUGGGACUUUUUUCUGACAAAAGCCACUCAUACUUGAGUAUUUUGAUAAAAAUAUUUGAUCUGGCUUUAAAAGAAGAUCAAUUCAUGCCGAUUGGAAAUACCCAGAUACUGGACCCCGGGGACUGCCUUUAGGAAAGCAGUGUGGCUAUGCAGCUGUGCAGCUGUGAGAGUGUGAACCGGAGCUAUGGCCUGCUUAGAUCAGGAGAGGACUGCGUCAGAGGUGAUGGUUUAAUGUCCGAUAUGGGUGAGUGGGAAGGUGGCGGUGCCACUAAGUGAGAGAGGGAGCCCAGAAGACAAAGGGAAGGGGUGGACAGGUACAGAGUGCCCCACUGUGUGCCAGGUGGCCUUAUGUGCAUGUCAUCAAGUCUUUCACACCAUGCGGCGUGGCUCCUCUGUGCUUCCCCAUGGGCUGGAUCCUCUCUUUCAUUAUGAAAAGUUUUGAACGUACAGAGAAGAUAAAAGAAUUGACACUCUGGUACCCAGGUAGCCGCUACCUGGAUUCUCCGAUUACAAUUGAUCCUUGAACAACACAGGUUUGGACUGUGUGGGCCCACUUCAUACACAGAUUUUUGUUGAUACAGUACAGAACUGUAAAUGUGUUUUCUCCUUACGAUUUUCUUAACAUUUUCUUUCCUCUAGCUUACUUUAUUCUAAGAAUACAGCACAGAAUACAUAGAACAUACAAACAUGUGUUAGUCGACUGCUUAUAUUAGUAGUAAGGCUUCCAGUCAUCAGUGUGCUAUUAAUAAUUAAAUUUGGGGGGAGUCAAAAGUUACGUGCAGAUUUUUGAUGUGUUGUUCGAGGGUCGACUGUAAUAUUUUCCUUGAUUUGCUUUAUCUCAUAUCUGUUCGUCUAGCCAUAUCUGUGUCCAUGAACACAUCAUGUUCAAACAUCCAUACACUUCAUUUAAACACAUAAGCAACAUAUCAUUAACCAGAGUUUAAUAUAUAUUUAUUGUUCUUUCUUUUUUUGAGGUAAAAUUUGCAUUCUGGGAAAGGUACAGAUCUGUCCUAUUUGAUGAAUUUUAAUAAAUACAUUCACCAAUGUAACAAGCCCCCAUCUAGAUGUAGCCUAUUCACAUCACCUGAGAGUCGCUUAUGCUCUUCCCAGUUGGUCCUCUCACAUCCCUCAGCCCUGCUAGAGACAACCACUUCUCUGAUACAUUUUUCCAACAUAGCUUAGCCUGUUCUAGAAAAUUAAAUUAUAUGCUUCUGGGUAAGGCUCUUUCACUUGGCCUGUUUUUGAUGUCCAUAUUGUUGCAUGUAUCUGUAGUUAUGUUCUUUCUUAACAGUGGAUUUUUGAAUAUGGUUGUAAGUACUCAGAGCCCUGAGUUUGCACAUAAGGUCCCUGCCAAAUAGGAGGACUGCCACUGACCUCACCAAACCAUCCAAAGAGGGGCAGGACAUUUGGAGCCAGAUGGAAAAUCAGGUCAGUUCUCCAGCUAGAAAACAACCAAUUCUGUGAAUGAUCAUUGGACUUCAUAGGGUUAGCUCUAGAAAACAUCACUUUUUCAUCUCUUGGGAGGACAACAAUGUAUCCAAUUGUAUCUGGCAUUUUAUACCCCCAGUUGAAGAUUCCAGUCUCUGGAACCAAGUUAGAGGGCCAUAUCUAUGUCAGCUCAUCCAGAGAUGCCCCCUUUCAGAGGUAUUAUGGGAAGGUGAGUGGGAAUGGGGGAACAGGAAGAGAACCCUCCAAUGGAAACAAUCUUGAUUCUCAUUUUCAUUUGUAGUGAAAUGAUUGCAAUAGUAAGAAUUCAUUUUUCAAACCUUGAAAAGUUUCAUGGCCUGGACACCAAGCCAGUGCUUUGGCUCUUAGCUCAGUCCAGAUGUUUUAUGCAGGGCAGCCUCUUGAAUUGUCCUCUCCUUAUGCUGCUGACUGUGAAGAACUUGACAGCUCUACUGAUCUAGAUCUAUGAUAUUGAUGCUGUGUUACAACUUCUAACACUUGCCUCAGUCGUCACAGAUGAACAAAGGCAUGGGUUCCUGUUCCAGAAGUAUUCAUCACAUUCUUUAUAGAAGAUCUCCACCCCAUUAAUUGGCUUUUCUUGUCUGGUUGCCAAUAGCUACAUUCACUCACUCCCUCUUCUGGAAGUCUCUCCAGAGAUGCUUGCUGUUUAGCCAAGUUGUGUUUUAAUUCCCCAGGAUAAAAGGAGCAGGCAGCCCUCAGGCAGCCCCCAGCCGGCUCCCCCUGGGCUCAUUGACCCCCGAGCCUGGGAUUAAUGCAGGAGCUGGCAGAGUUCCAGCCAAGAAUUGAAGGUUGAUGUGAAUUAGGAAAUGGGGAAUAAGCUCCUUCUCUUUCCUGGUGCCCCCUCCAUUCACCGGUCAUUCAUUCUUUGUUAAACUUGCCUUGACAGUGAUGCUGGUUAAACUAUGACAGUCCUUAAGAAAAUGCUAAAACGUUAUCUUAUAGCUCUAACAAAAUAGUGUGUAAAAUUUUUAAGAUGUUAUUCAAAAACAACUGUUUUUUUUUUUUCUUUUGACCAUGUCUUUUGCUUUGGUGUUUGUGACUAGAGGCUAUUCUUUUGUUUUCUCUCAGGUGGCACCUUCAGAAGGUCUUAAAGCUCAAGGGUGGUCAGCAGAUUCCCGUGUUUAAGCUCAGCAGGGACACUGGUGAUGAAGGAGGACAGGUGAUCAAAACGACUCUGCUUUCUCCAAGAGUGGCCUCCCCUCCUCACCGGGUCCCUCCAGGGCCUUGAGCCGGGUGUCCAGCACCAGGGGUGACUAUUUCAGACAUGAUAAGAGAGUGGCCUGCAAAUGGAAAGAAAACACACACACGAAAAAAGGCCUCAGGAGGAGAAAUAUGAGCUAUGCCCCAGAACGAAGAUACCCAUUUUGGCCAGGGGACAGGUUAGCUGAAGCCACAGUAAAAGAAAGCCCUGGAAAGGUGAGUUGGCCACCACAUGUGCCAGUGUUAGCAUUUUGCAUGUGGCUUGUGGCCAUCAUAGAUUUGGGAGUAAGCAUAUGAUUGCACAGUUAAUGGAUGGUUAAGAGACUAUGAUGAAUACGUCCUGACAGGCUGAUAGGACUUUUUGAUAAAUCACACAUUUUACUGUCAUUGAUUCCAUUUUUCUAGGAUUGGCUUCCUCCUACCUCUCUUCCCUUCAACCAUCCCCCCUUCACUGAUUUAAUUAUACCUGAUGAGACGUUUUAUUACUCCCGGUUUUGGUAGUUUUUAACAGUAAAGAUGAAGAAGCUGAAAUAAAAUACAUGUAUACAAAACAGCCAGAACUUGACAAAGUGGCCUCUGUCUGCUGGCACAGUGGGAAGGCCGAGGUAAUGCUCAAUAGGCAGCAGCACAAGGGUUUCCUGAAGUCAGGCAGCCUUAGGCCACUUGACUGUUUGGUUUUCAGUUUGUAUGAAAAAUAUGAAGAAAUACUUACCAAGCAACUAUCUUACAAGUGAGGCAAUGCUUUUACCGCUCGUUGAGAUGCUUGGCAAACCUGCCGUAUACACAGGAGGCCUGAUGGCUGAGGAGGUCAGGGAGGAGGCGGGAGGAUGAUGGGAAAACCUCUAGGCCCACCUACAGGAUUCUUGCCUCCUUAGUAACCUGUACAUCAUCCAGGCUUGUUUUUUGGCCAGCGUCGGAGUUGCUCAGGUGAAAGUACAUUCAGGAACAUGUAGAGAAAAGCUGUGGCAUUUUACAAUCCAGGGUAGAAAAGUGGCAGAUGAAAAUAUUAAAAACAUGCCUCUCAGACAUAGGUAUGUAUCACAUAUCACAUGUGGUAUAUUAAAUGCCUUUUACCAUUAAAUAAGCAGCCUUUGAGGCAGAAUUUUUUUCCUCCACCACAUAAUACUUAGCUUUUUUAUUAUUUUGAUAUCUGAUCUUAUUCUUCUUAGAACAAUCUCAUUUUUGACAGGACUCAGAGAUAGAAGCUUUCCGAGAAGACAGCCUCCGUCUCUUGGCAGUCUGUUCCUUGUGUUUUCCUUGGCCUCCUUCAUUCUGUUGGCCACCAGUCUGGCAUAUCCUGCAGCCUCUUGCUUAUGUUUCUCAGUCUGCUGCUUCCAAGCAGUAUGCCAACGUUUGUGCUGGACGACUGGUGGAGGAACAAGACGCUGAAUCUUGAGAGCUUUGGUUCUAGGUUUCUUCCCUUCUUUGUUUAGGGGCUUUCUCACAAAGACUGGCAGACAUCAUCUUCCUUCAAGCGAUUGUAAAGUCUGAGGUUUCUGCUAGCUCUUUUGGGGCCCCGGGCAAUGAGGAACUGUAGUGUCAGUUAGUCUAGGAAUAUCCUUCUCCCCUUUUCUCACGAUGGCCACAUGGAGAACACUGAGGUUGGUCCACAAUGCAACCUGAACAGAUAUGGGCUUUCUCCAGUCCUCCUUGGUUGGUAGCAGGAAUGCCCCUUGCUCAGCAGCAGGCGGACACGGCCAUGGGUCAGGACACCUGCUUCAUGGGGAAGCCUUGUUUGCCGUUGCCACCUCUGAUUCAGACCGCAUCACCCUUCCAUUCUUCCUAGUUCAUCAGCAGCAACUUCUGUGGCCAUUCGCUUCUCAAAAAAGGUAUGAAGUUUCCAUUCAUCGUCCACUUCAAUGAGUUUCUAGCAGUCAGCAGCUGGCAAAGAGAUGUUCAGCUUCAUCCUGAAGCAGCCUACUGCCUCCGAGUCGCCGCAAAAAAGACCUGUAACACUUAGCUUUUAAGUGCAGCUACCAUGUGUCAAUCACCUUGCAGCCUUAAUAAGAAAGUAAUUUUGUACUUCCACGUCAGUUUGAGAAACCAAUUCCUCCCAUGAAUGUGGUUGCAGAAUUCUAAACACUAGCAAACUGAAUCCAGGGACGUAUAAUAAGUGGUACAUUAUUUUUCACAAAAUGUGGUGCCUAUAUCUUUGCAGUGCCCUCCUCUAUGGGAAGAUUAUAUAUCCCUGUCUUGUUGAACUCAGGUGUGACCAGGUGGCUUGUUUUGGCCAAUUGAUUUGUGAGUGGAAGUGAUAAGCAAGACUUCUGAGUAAAAGUUUUAAGUGCCAGCCCUUGGUUCUUCAUGCCCUCUUUUCUCUCUUCCCAAAAUUCAGUAAUGUUCUAGAUGGUAGCUACUCUAGGGACUUGAGUUCUGGAAUGAAGAUGAUAUGUGACAGAGCUUACAGCUGACCCACAAUGGGACAUGUAGCAUGGGUGAGAAAUAAACCCUUAAAAGCCCCUAAAAUUAGGGGCCAUUUUUACAUCAGCUUAACCUAGCCAAUUCUGUAAACAGUGACUAAGAUUUAUUUCAGGAAUGCAAGGUGGUUCAAUAUAAGGAAAUUUAUUGAUAGAGCUAAUCAUAUUAACAGAGCUAAGGAGGAAAAUUAUAUUUCAUUUUUUUUUUUAAUUAGGCCUCAUGCCCAGUGUGGAGCCCAACAUGGGGCUUGAACUCACGAUCCUGAGGGUUAAGACCUGAGCUGAAACCAAAGUUGGACACUUAACCAACUGAGCCCCAUGUGAUACUUUUAUAGAUACAGAAAGUCAUUUCACAAAAACUCAUUAAGUGUUCACAUUAAAAACAAAUGAGAAUUGAUAGUUCCUCUCAUAAGAGGAGAGUGUGUGCACGUACAUGUAUUCCCAAAGCGAUCAUCUUACCCAACUGGAAAACUACUAGAGGUUUUUUUCCAUUCAAGUCAGAAACAAGAUAAGGAUACACUAUAUCCACUAUUAUUUAACAUUAUGCUGUAUCCAAUAUAGUUAGGCAAAAGAACAAAACAAAAACAAGAGACCUAAAAAUUAGGGAGAGUUGCUAUUUAUGUAGAUGGUAUCAUUAUAUAUCUGCAAAACCCAAAAGAAUCUGUGGAAAACUAGAGUAUUUAGUAGAGGACAUUAAUGUUUAGAAACAAUCUUGUGCCUGGGUGGCUCAGUCUGUUGGUUGAGCAUCCAACUCUUGAUUUCAGCUCAGGUCAUGAUCCCAGGAUUGCAGGAUUGAGCCCCGCGUCCUGAAUGUGGGUGGC